UACGUAGGGCGCAAGCGUUGUCCGGAAUUAUUGGGCGUAAAGAGCUCGUAGGCGGUCUGUCGCGUCUGCUGUGAAAUCCCGGGGCUCAACCCCGGGCCUGCAGUGGAUACGGGCUGGCUGGAGGCAGGCAGGGGAGAACGGAAUUCCUGGUGUAGCGGUGAAAUGCGCAGAUAUCAGGAGGAACACCGGUGGCGAAGGCGGUUCUCUGGGCCUGUUCUGACGCUGAGGAGCGAAAGCGUGGGGAGCGAACAGG
Molecule: ribosomal RNA, 253 nt
Filed under: uncultured bacterium
Lineage: Bacteria
Description: partial 16S ribosomal RNA
Rfam family: Bacterial small subunit ribosomal RNA
Source: RNAcentral